RNAcentral lists this unclassified non-coding RNA (707 nucleotides) under Hevea brasiliensis (rubber tree). The record is from RNAcentral. Lineage: Eukaryota; Viridiplantae; Streptophyta; Magnoliopsida; Malpighiales; Euphorbiaceae.
UACGAUGGGGAGAGGGGCACGGCUUCAUCGAUCCGCUCCAUCGCCGCCGGAUCUCCGCCCCUCUCCCCAUCGUAGAUCGGGAACACAAUGUCGUCAAUCACUCUUCCAACUGCCUGUCUGCUCCGAAGCAGCAUCAAAUAUCCAGAGAGCAAAAUGCUUAUGAAGGCCCCUUCAUCCCUCACCUCCUUGAGGAGCAUCUCUAAACCUUCUCGGCUGAAGUCUUCAAAUGGCUUCAGGGCUUCUGCAAUGGCUACCUACAAGGUGAAGCUUGUUGGGCCAGAAGGGGAGGAACAUGAGUUUGAGGCCCCAGAUGACACAUACAUUCUGGACGCAGCUGAGCUUGCAGGGUUGGAGCUGCCAUACUCUUGCAGAGCUGGGGCUUGCUCAACCUGUGCUGGUCACAUGGUGUCAGGUGCUGUUGAUCAGUCGGACGGAUCAUUCCUCGACGAGGGACAGAUGGAAAAGGGUUAUGUUCUGACUUGUGUCGCCUAUCCAACUGCUGAUUGUGUCAUUCACACUCACAAGGAAGGUGACCUGUAUUAAUGACUCAAAGAGGUUAGUUUGUGCUUAUGUAUCUGAAAAAGACUUCUGCUUCUGUUUAGGUGUUUGUGUUUAAGUUCUGUUUCUGGUCGUCUUGGUGUAGAAUGUGAUAUUUGCUCUGGUUGAGAUGGAUUUGUAGGUGGUUGGAAUAUCUAUUGGGAUAUAAG